CCUGCAGUGCCCCUGCUACUUCUGCGUCCUCUUCUCACAACUGUUGGAUCCCUCCUCGGCGCUAACGUCCCCCUAGGUGUCUCUUCCCGCAAUGCUGCAUGACUGUUUCCUGCCUCCAGCCACAGUCAGGCAGAGGGAACUCGCCUCCCCCAGCAUACACACAAAGCUGUGGCUGUGAGAAAAGGGAGAACUCACUGUACAGUGGAUACCAUGAGGAUCUGGACCAGCUCUUACCGCCAGCUUACACUGACCCCAAUUCUGUUGUUCUGCCUGUGAACUGGAAAAGACGUCACUAAAUCACUAAAUAUAUGUACGGACUUAAGUCUCCGUUUCCGGUUUCCUGACCCCGUGAUGAUCAUGGAUGGUCUGAGGCUGCCUUGGCGUCCCCCAGGGGCUCUAGAGACGGGGCUCCCACCAUCGAAGAACGUUCCUUCCACGCUCUGCUCCAACACAAAAUCAACACGAAACUGAGCCCUGCGUUGUAUGUUGGGUGGCUCCUGACUGCCUGCCUCAGGCUUCCCCUGUGUCCCUUUCUGUCCAACGUGGUCCCAGUGUCUUCUGAGUGAGGUUUCCCUCUAUAAACAGAUUUCUCAUUAGUUUGUACAACAGCCUGGUGGAAUAACUGUAUUCUCAGCCGAAAUUCCCAAUGCUGAGUGAGUCAUGCUGAAGAUCCUGCUAAAGCCAGUCUGAGCUGCUUUCUCAUGUUUACGGCCACAGAAAACUCAAGAGCUUAACUUGGGAGUCUGACCCGCAGUUAGCUGCAUUGACUGGGCCUUUGGGUCCUUGAUCAGUGGAAGGUUUAUGGGAAUGCUCUCUUCUUUUAAUUUUAAAACAUUCAAAUCCAUCCAAGAAUUAUGACUAAAACCAGGAGCCCGAGGUUAUAAUAUAAUCAGAAUUUCUGUGUUUUUCUGUGAGGGAGGGAAAGCAGGCACAUUAGAGCCACUCAAUAAGCACUAAAUAAAUCAUGUUCCCCGAGUCCGGCUCAGAGGGACCCAGCACUUCCUCUGCUAGGCCCAGCUGAUUGAUCUCUAUAAAAUUCUUAGCAAGCACUUACGCCUCAGCAGGAGCUCUGCUGGGAUGAAAUCAUGGAGUGCCUGAGGACAGCAUCUCUCUCCCCAUCCCCAUAGCAACUGUCCAUCUCCUAGGAACAGAAGG
Long non-coding RNA from Fukomys damarensis (Damara mole-rat), 1155 nucleotides. RefSeq lists it as uncharacterized. The transcript is spliced from 3 exons. NCBI's taxonomy places the organism in Eukaryota, Metazoa, Chordata, Mammalia, Rodentia, Bathyergidae. The record is from RefSeq and is a predicted model, not a curated record.